This is a long non-coding RNA of Haliotis rufescens (red abalone), 321 nucleotides long. RefSeq lists it as uncharacterized. NCBI's taxonomy places the organism in Eukaryota, Metazoa, Mollusca, Gastropoda, Lepetellida, Haliotidae. The record is from RefSeq and is a predicted model, not a curated record. The transcript has 3 exons.
UCAGACCACAGUUGUGCCAGUCACAUUCAGAAACUCAACCGGUGAUCAUGAUGAUACAACGCCUGCAAGUGAGGACAGCAUGUCUUCUGGAAUGUCCACCUCACCUAAUGGAUCGGCACACUCGAGCAAAAAGCUGACCAUAACGACUGAUGCAUCUGUGAAAGGAGGGCUGGAGACCCUUGUUGUAGUCAGUAUUGGAUUCUCGGUUGCAACGACGGUGAUCAUCUCCGUCAUCGCUUUCUUGCUUUGUCGCAGAACAUUCAAACGACGAAAAGGUGGGAUUUGUUCUGUGUUUAAAUACGUCAUGAUAUGCAUUUGUUG